AAGGAAUAUUGGGCAAUGGACGCAAGUCUGACCCAGCCAUGCCGCGUGAAGGAAGACGGCCCUAUGGGUUGUAAACUUCUUUUCUCAGGGGGUAAACUCCGGAACGUGUUCCGGACUGAAAGUACCUGAGGAAUAAGCAUCGGCUAACUCCGUGCCAGCAGCCGCGGUAAUACGGAGGAUGCGAGCGUUAUCCGGAUUCAUUGGGUUUAAAGGGUGCGCAGGCGGAUAUAUAAGUCGGAGGUGAAAUUCUGAUGCUCAACAUCAGCCGUGCCUUCGAUACUGUAUAUCUAGAGUCAAGUUGGAGUAGGCGGAAUGUGUUGUGUAGCGGUGAAAUGCUUAGAUAUAACACAGAACACCGAUCGCGAAGGCAGCUUACUAAACUUUGACUGACGCUCAUGCACGAAAGCGUGGGGAUCAAAC
This 420-nucleotide ribosomal RNA is filed under the name uncultured bacterium. RNAcentral describes it as "bacterial SSU rRNA". It matches the Rfam family "Bacterial small subunit ribosomal RNA", at positions 356 to 773 of the family's 1533-position model. The record is from RNAcentral.